This 500-nucleotide ribosomal RNA is filed under the name uncultured bacterium. Its description in RNAcentral is "partial 16S ribosomal RNA". It matches the Rfam family "Bacterial small subunit ribosomal RNA", at positions 30 to 523 of the family's 1533-position model. The record is from RNAcentral.
AUUGAACGCUGGCGGCAGGCCUAACACAUGCAAGUCGAGCGGAUGACGGGAGCUUGCUCCUUGAUUCAGCGGCGGACGGGUGAGUAAUGCCUAGGAAUCUGCCUGGUAGUGGGGGACAACGUUUCGAAAGGAACGCUAAUACCGCAUACGUCCUACGGGAGAAAGCAGGGGACCUUCGGGCCUUGCGCUAUCAGAUGAGCCUAGGUCGGAUUAGCUAGUUGGUGGGGUAAUGGCUCACCAAGGCGACGAUCCGUAACUGGUCUGAGAGGAUGAUCAGUCACACUGGAAGUGAGACACGGUCCGGACUCCGACGGGAGGAAGCAGUGGGGAAUAUUGGACAAUGGGCGAAAGCCUGAUCCAGCCAUGCCGCGUGUGUGAAGAAGGUCUUCGGAUUGUAAAGCACUUUAAGUUGGGAGGAAGGGCAGUAAGUUAAUACCUUGCUGUUUUGACGUUACCGACAGAAUAAGCACCGGCUAACUCUGUGCCAGCAGCCGCCGUAA